This 370-nucleotide RNase P RNA is filed under the name human gut metagenome. RNAcentral's name for it is "Bacterial RNase P class A". It matches the Rfam family "Bacterial RNase P class A". From Rfam's summary of the family: Ribonuclease P (RNase P) is a ubiquitous endoribonuclease, found in archaea, bacteria and eukarya as well as chloroplasts and mitochondria. The record is from RNAcentral.
GCCGGUCUGUCGCUCGGCCACGCAUGAGGGCCGAGAGGAAAGUCCGGGCAACAAAGAGCACCAUAUUUCCUAACGGGAAGCUGUCGGUGACGGCAGAGUAAUGUGACAGAAAACAACCGCCUGAAAAGGCAAGGGUGAAAAGGCGAGGUAAGAGCUCACCGGGCGCGACAGCGAUAUCGCGCGCCGCACAUCUUAUGGGUUGCAAGGUCAAGUAUACCGGCAUUCAAGGGCUGCUCGUCCAUUGCCGGGGGGUAGACUGCUAAAGCCCGGUGGCGACACCGGUGCGUAGAUAAAUGACAGACGGGACGCCGCAACUCGCUCCCCUGCGGGGUGAAAGUACGGCUCUUACAUAACCCGGCUUACAGGCGGU